This 405-nucleotide ribosomal RNA is filed under the name uncultured prokaryote. RNAcentral describes it as "bacterial SSU rRNA". It matches the Rfam family "Bacterial small subunit ribosomal RNA", at positions 355 to 774 of the family's 1533-position model. The record is from RNAcentral.
UGGGGAAUAUUGGGCAAUGGGCGCAAGCCUGACCCAGCAACGCCGCGUGAGGGAAGAAGGUCUUCGGAUUGUAAACCUCUGUCCUUGGGGACGAAAAAAAUGACGGUACCCAAGGAGGAAGCUCCGGCUAACUACGUGCCAGCAGCCGCGGUAAUACGUAGGGAGCGAGCGUUGUCCGGAAUUACUGGGCGUAAAGGGUGCGUAGGCGGCAUGGCAAGUCAGAUGUGAAAUCCCCGGGCUUAACUCGGGUGGUGCAUUUUAAACUGCUGUGCUUGAGUGCAGGAGAGGAAAGCGGAAUUCCUAGUGUAGCGGUGAAAUGCGUAGAUAUUAGGAAGAACACCAGUGGCGAAGGCGGCUUUCUGGACUGUAACUGACGCUGAGGCACGAAAGCGUGGGGAGCAAACA